This 476-nucleotide ribosomal RNA is filed under the name uncultured bacterium. RNAcentral's name for it is "bacterial SSU rRNA". It matches the Rfam family "Bacterial small subunit ribosomal RNA", at positions 29 to 517 of the family's 1533-position model. The record is from RNAcentral.
AACGAACGCUGGCGGCGCGUCUUAAACAUGCAAGUCGAACGAUCUGUAGCAAUACAGGGAGUGGCGGACGGGUGAGGAACACGUAGGAAUCUACCUUGAAGAGCGGGACAACUUUGGGAAACCGGGGCUAAUACCGCAUAGUACAGAGAUGUUAAAGGGCUAGCAAUAGUCGCUUCGAGAUGAGCCUGCGGUCUAUCAGCUUGUUGGUGAGGUAAUGGCUCACCAAGGCUACGACGGAUAGCCGGUCUGAGAGGAUGAUCGGCCACACUGGCACUGAGACACGGGCCAGACUCCUACGGGAGGCAGCAGUUAAGAAUCUUGCGCAAUGGGGGAAACCCUGACGCAGCGACGCCGCGUGAAGGAUGAAGGCUUUCGGGUUGUAAACUUCGGUAGACUGGGAAGAAGAAAUACGUUCGUUGAGGGCGUAUAGUGACGGUACCAGUCUGAACGCCCGGCUAAUUACGUGCCAGCAGCCG